GAUGAACGCUGGCGGCGUGCCUAAUACAUGCAAGUCGAGCGAACAGACGAGGAGCUUGCUCCUCUGACGUUAGCGGCGGACGGGUGAGUAACACGUGGAUAACCUACCUAUCUGACUGGGAUAACUUCGGGAAACCGGAGCUAAUACCGGAUAAUAUAUUGAACCGCAUGGUUCAAUAGUGAAAGAUGGUUUUGCUGUCACUUAUAGAUGUAUCCGCGCCGCAUUAGCUAGUUGGUAAGGUAACGGCUUACCAAGGCAACGAUGCGUAGCCGACCUGAGAGGGGGAUCGCCCACACUGGAGCUGAGACACGCUCCAGACUCCUACGGGAGGCAGCAGUAGGGAAUCUUAGGCAAUGGGCGAAAGCCUGACGGAGCAACGCCGCGUGAGUGGUGAAGGUCUUCGGAUCGUAAAGCUCUGUUAUGAGGGAAGAACAAAUGUGUAAGUAACAAUGCACGUCUUGACGGUACCUAAUCAGAAAGCCAUGGCUAACUACGUG
RNAcentral lists this ribosomal RNA (497 nucleotides) under uncultured bacterium. RNAcentral describes it as "partial 16S ribosomal RNA". It matches the Rfam family "Bacterial small subunit ribosomal RNA", at positions 28 to 507 of the family's 1533-position model. The record is from RNAcentral.